CCUACGGGUGGCAGCAGUGGGGAAUAUCGCACAAUGGGCGCAAGCCUGAUGCAGCCAUGCCGCGUGUAUGAAGAAGGCCCUAGGGUUGUAAAGUACUUUCAGUCGGGAGGAAGGCGUUGAUGCUAAUAUCAUCAGCGAUUGACGUUACCGACAGAAGAAGCACCGGCUAACUCCGUGCCAGCAGCCGCGGUAAUACGAAGGGUGCAAGCGUUAAUCGGAAUUACUGGGCGUAAAGCGCACGCAGGCGGUUUGUUAAGUCAGAUGUGAAAUCCCCGGGCUCAACCUGGGAACUGCAUUUGAAACUGGCAAGCUAGAGUCUCGUAGAGGGGGGUAGAAUUCCAGGUGUAGCGGUGAAAUGCGUAGAGAUCUGGAGGAAUACCGGUGGCGAAGGCGGCCCCCUGGACAAAGACUGACGCUCAGGUGCGAAAGCGUGGGGAGCAAACAGGAUUAGAUACCCCUGUAGUC
Molecule: ribosomal RNA, 465 nt
Filed under: uncultured bacterium
Lineage: Bacteria
Description: bacterial SSU rRNA
Rfam family: Bacterial small subunit ribosomal RNA
Source: RNAcentral